Molecule: long non-coding RNA, 331 nt
Organism: Callorhinchus milii (elephant shark)
Lineage: Eukaryota; Metazoa; Chordata; Chondrichthyes; Chimaeriformes; Callorhinchidae
Exons: 3
Source: RefSeq, a predicted model, not a curated record
CAGUUUGAGCUGCUGCCAACAUCUUAAAGUUCUUAUAAUGUUCAGCAGUGUUUUAGUUUGGGGCAGUGAACAAGUGAACUACUCAAACAUCAGAGGAAAAAAGCUACAUGUGAAGCUUUCUUCUAAUAAUUGUCUAGAAGCUAGAGCUCUACGAGGAAUUAGACAUUUGUACGUUGGAUAACCAUAGAAUCAUAACGUUGUUUUCAACUAUCUUUAAGGAAUGAUUUCAUUUGCAACAAAAUCUGUGGAGUUUCUUAGCACUUGGGAACCAUGAACGUUCCCUGACCUUCUGCUGUAUGCAUCCAAGAAACAGUCAGUGGUCAAAGACGGC